Mustela lutreola (European mink) is the source of this 250-nucleotide long non-coding RNA. RefSeq lists it as uncharacterized. Lineage: Eukaryota; Metazoa; Chordata; Mammalia; Carnivora; Mustelidae. The record is from RefSeq and is a predicted model, not a curated record. The transcript has 2 exons.
CGUAAAUUGGGAUCGGUGCGGAUUUCUGAGAAAAUAGAAAUGAACAGGGCAGUCAGCUCGAGAGCAGAGAAAUGAGAAAAGGAACACGAGCAAAGGGAGUGGGACAGGGAGAAGCAGGCUUCCUGCUGAGCAAGGCGCUGGAUGCCGGGCUUGAACUCGGGACCCUGGGAUCAUGCCCUGAGCCGAAGGCAGACGCUUUAACUGACUGAGCCACCCAGGCACCCCACUUAAAUAAAUUUUUUAAAAAAUA